Molecule: ribosomal RNA, 477 nt
Filed under: uncultured bacterium
Lineage: Bacteria
Description: partial 16S ribosomal RNA
Rfam family: Bacterial small subunit ribosomal RNA
Source: RNAcentral
GAUGAACGCUGGCGGCGUGCCUAAUACAUGCAAGUCGAGCGAACGGACGAGAAGCUUGCUUCUCUGAUGUUAGCGGCGGACGGGUGAGUAACACGUGGAUAACCUACCUAUAAGACUGGGAUAACUUCGGGAAACCGGAGCUAAUACCGGAUAAUAUUUUGAACCGCAUGGUUCAAAAGUGAAAGACGGUCUUGCUGUCACUUAUAGAUGGAUCCGCGCUGCAUUAGCUAGUUGGUAAGGUAACGGCUUACCAAGGCAACGACGCAUAGCCGACCUGAGAGGGGGAGCGGCCACGUUGGGACUGAGAUACGGCCCAGACUCCGACGGGAGGCAGCAGUGGGGAAGAGUGCACAAUGGUCGGAAGCCUGAUGCAGCAACGCCGCGUGCGGGAUGACGGCCUUCGGGUGGAAAACCGCGGUCGACUGGGAAGAAGCGGGAGUUAAGGUAAUGGGUAAAGAAGCACCGGAUAACGACGUG